AAAUUGAAGAGUUUGAUCAUGGCUCAGAUUGAACGCUGGCGGCAGGCCUAACACAUGCAAGUCGAACGGUAACAGGAAGCAGCUUGCUGUUUCGCUGACGAGUGGCGGACGGGUGAGUAAUGUCUGGGAAACUGCCUGAUGGAGGGGGAUAACUACUGGAAACGGUAGCUAAUACCGCAUAACGUCGCAAGACCAAAGAGGGGGACCUUCGGGCCUCUUGCCAUCGGAUGUGCCCAGAUGGGAUUAGCUUGUUGGUGGGGUAACGGCUCACCAAGGCGACGAUCCCUAGCUGGUCUGAGAGGAUGACCAGCCACACUGGAACUGAGACACGGUCCAGACUCCUACGGGAGGCAGCAGUGGGGAAUAUUGCACAAUGGGCGCAAGCCUGAUGCAGCCAUGCCGCGUGUAUGAAGAAGGCCUUCGGGUUGUAAAGUACUUUCAGCGGGGAGGAAGGGAGUAAAGU
This 463-nucleotide ribosomal RNA is filed under the name Escherichia coli. RNAcentral describes it as "bacterial SSU rRNA". It matches the Rfam family "Bacterial small subunit ribosomal RNA", at positions 1 to 460 of the family's 1533-position model. RNAcentral also lists the same sequence under 2 other names. The record is from RNAcentral. Lineage: Bacteria; Pseudomonadati; Pseudomonadota; Gammaproteobacteria; Enterobacterales; Enterobacteriaceae.